CUGUAGACGUUCCGUGCAAAAUCAGACAGAAGCGGCAGGACCGAGAGACGUGAUCGUGGCAGUUCUGCAGUUUAGUGACUUUGGUUUUCAUUUCAGAAUGAACUACCACCAUGUUGUGCUCUUCUGCUUCUCAUCAGCAGUGAUCAAUGGAAACGCAGCCCCCAACAAUCCUCAUACCAAAAUGGAAGGCCUAGAUUUCUUCAGUCAAUAUAAGCUUAACGUGCAGCCAGGAAGCAGAAUAUAUCUCUGUAGGAACGACUGCAGGAAGGAAGACAUCCUCGUAGAAACACAAAGGGAAUCAAUGCAGACUGGCAGAUACAGAAUUAGAUACGACAAAACGGACAACAAAGUGCACGUCGUCAUCACAGAUCUGAUCCCGUCUGACACGGGAAGCUACAAAGUUGGCGUGGGCGAAUAUUCCCCCGGUUCAUACAAAGAGUUUAAGAUCAAAGUUAGAGCUCGAUGUGAGGAAGUCGUCCAUGGAGAGCAGCAAGUCUACAGCGGCACUGUUGGAGGAAACAUCACAAUCCAGUGCUCCUUGUCUGCACAUGCUUUAAACAGGAAGUUCCUCUGUCGGGACACAUGUCACACAAUUCUCUUUGAAACCAUUUCUGAGAGAGUCGGGAGCAACAAAUAUGAAAUCACAUACGGGAACAACGGGCUCUUUAAUGUAACCAUCACACAGCUGACCUGGUCGGACUCAGGACGCUACAGUUGCGGCGUGGGACGACAGUUUCAAACAAAUCAAUGUCAGGUGUUCGAGAUCACAGUUACGGGUGCAGGCGGCGCCUUGCGUCCACUCGUCUGUCUGACUGCGGUCGUGCUGUUGGUCGGUUGCGUGCUGCUCCUCUACAAACAGAGGAUCAGAAGUGUUGAGUAUGUAAACACCAGGGGAAGUGAAGGAAACCCGGAGACUGCUAUCUAUGACGACUGUGCUCCCUUCUCCACAUAUGAGGGAUCAACUUACUGGGAACUUGAUCCACAGAGCAGAGAUCACACCCCGUACUCUACACUAGACACGCCGACAUAUGUGUAUGUUCUACCUUCACAAGAACGAGCUCAAAGUUCAGCUGACAGAAUAAAAUGAAGUACUUGAAGUUAAUUUCUUCCAGUUUUCUUAUUUUUUUCUGCUCUGAGUUUUUUGCUGUUCAACACAUCACACUCAUCCAUCUCCAG
RNAcentral lists this long non-coding RNA (1176 nucleotides) under Sparus aurata (gilthead seabream). RNAcentral's name for it is "lncRNA (ENSSAUG00010004571.1)". The record is from RNAcentral. Lineage: Eukaryota; Metazoa; Chordata; Actinopteri; Spariformes; Sparidae.